UCCUACGGGUGGCUGCAGUAGGGAAUUUUCGGCAAUGGGGGAAACCCUGACCGAGCAACGCCGCGUGAAUGACGAAGUACUUCGGUAUGUAAAGUUCUUUUAUUGGGGAAGAAUGGUACGUGGAAAAACGUACGUGACGGUACCUAAUGAAUAAGCCCCGGCUAACUAUGUGCCAGCAGCCGCGGUAAUACAUAGGGGGCAAGCGUUAUCCGGAAUUAUUGGGCGUAAAGGGUGCGUAGGUGGCUAUUUAAGUCUUUGGUGUAAGUGCAGUGCUCAACACUGUGAUGCUAAAGAAACUGGAUGGCUUGAGUGUGGUAGAGGCAAGUGGAAUUCCAUGUGUAGCGGUAAAAUGCGUAAAUAUAUGGAGGAACACCAGUGGCGAAGGCGGCUUGCUGGGCCAUAACUGACACUGAGGCACGAAAGCGUGGGGAGCAAACAGGAUUAGAUACCCGAGUAGUCC
This 460-nucleotide ribosomal RNA is filed under the name uncultured Acholeplasmataceae bacterium. RNAcentral describes it as "bacterial SSU rRNA". It matches the Rfam family "Bacterial small subunit ribosomal RNA", at positions 337 to 796 of the family's 1533-position model. The record is from RNAcentral. Lineage: Bacteria; Bacillati; Mycoplasmatota; Mollicutes; Acholeplasmatales; Acholeplasmataceae.